Molecule: non-coding RNA, 741 nt
Organism: Camelina sativa (false flax)
Lineage: Eukaryota; Viridiplantae; Streptophyta; Magnoliopsida; Brassicales; Brassicaceae
Source: RefSeq, a predicted model, not a curated record
AUAAUAUUUGAAACUUCUCUCUGAAACUUCUUCUUGCUUCUAAAUACUCGAAAAAAAAGGAAAACAAUUGCCAAGCAGGAUGGUGCUGUACGUAAAAGAUCUGAAUCCGAUGUUACAUAACCCGGAAGUUGCUGUGAAAAUUCUUAGAGAAUGGCCACCUCAUUUUAUUCAAGGACAGCCUUUUUAUCAAAGUUUGAUUUUGGUAGACGAGAGGGGAAAUAGGAUUGAUGCCAAGAUAGAUGCGGAUCUUUAUGUAUCAAGAUACUAUGGAAAAAUCAAGGAAGGAGACUGGUACGAGAUUACUGGAUUUUUAGUGAUUGAAGGUCAACAAUCAUUUAGGAACUCAAACCAUCCGUUUCAGAUCCUGAUCCAGGAUAAAACAAAAAUGAUCCUAACAUAUGUGCGAAGUACUGACAAUUUUAUCCUUUUUUUAUGAGGCAUUGAGAAUGAAUAAUUCGACGCCUGAAGAGAAGAACCGCUGUGUAAAUGUCAUGGGAAUGCUGUCACACGUAAACAAGCCUCAGACAAUUGAUUUCCUUGAACAUCAAAAUGGCUACAUUUCAGAGAAUGAAGUUGUGACAUUCAUUAUCCUUGAACACAAGUAAGAUAAUAUUCGAAACUUUCGAUAUUCUUAAAAAUAUAAUCUAUUUACUGGUUGUUUAACUUAUAUACAAUCAAUUUUUUUUUUUAAGUGGCCUAGAGAUUGAAUGUGUUGUUGUUGGUUCUGUUUGUACUGCAUUU